This 1300-nucleotide long non-coding RNA is filed under the name Homo sapiens (human). RNAcentral describes it as "non-protein coding lnc-ADTRP-7:1". The record is from RNAcentral. Lineage: Eukaryota; Metazoa; Chordata; Mammalia; Primates; Hominidae.
GCUCAUGGGAAAAAAAUGUCUCUCGGGCUGUGAGCAGUGAAUUGGCUUGUGCCCAAGUAAUGUCCUCAAGGUGUGCCAUGAGAGAUGAAGUCACUUGGCUCAUUUUACCAGCUUCAGGAUGGCAUUAAGACCUGACAAAGCCAGGCAACACGUACAAGGAAACUAACCUGAGGCAGGACCGUGGCACUGAAGGAGUCUCCCUGGAUGCAGCAAAGGUGGAGACCUUGUCCAAGAAAAAUGCUGGACGGGCCUUUACCCCAAAGAGGAAAGCUGGGUCAUGGAACAAGGAAAUGAAUUACAUCAAGUGAAAAUGCACAUCUGAUGCCCAGUCCAGACCAAGCACGUCUGUUCCUGCUGACUUCGAAUGAUUGUCAAGUGGCUGGACUCAGAUGUUAGCCGUCUGUCAUUGCUGCUAAUAACAUAUUCAUGUACAAAAACAACAGAGGGGUAUCUAGGCAGCUGGAGCCCUCUGUGUUCCGGACUACAGAUUCGGGGACCCAAAGAAAAUCUUUGUGUGGACUUUGGAGUUUCUCCCUGAAAUGUGCCAGGCGCCUGAGUCAGACACAAACACUCCCUUAGGACCUUCGUCAGAAACUCCACCCCUGUGUGGAAUCUCCUUCCUCUCUCUCUCUCCGGAGGAUGCCACCCGAAUUCGAAUGUGACUGUGUGUUUCUGCUGAGAGGUCCAUUGUCAUCCCCAGAUGAAAGAAGAGACCAAAGCAGUUACCACUGAUGGAAGCCAGUGAAGAUGGUUGGGGGAACUCCUUAACCUUUCUUGGAAUGUUUUGAACGAGGACGCUGGUCCUUUGCCAGUCAGGAACCAGCAGAGGAUGCUCCUGCUCUGAUCCCAGCCAGGGUGGAGAGUGCAGAGUCGGCCACAGGGCUCUCCGUGGAGGCUAUGGCUUCAGACAGGCCCCGAAGGUCUGUCACCAAUGUGCUCGGUUGUGGGUCACAUAACGCUCUCUGGAGGGCUUGCCUUUCAGCUUGGGAUCAUGAAAAGAUGAUUUGACGCUGUUUCUCAUGGUCUCCGACCUAAUAAAGCAAGAUAAGAGAAAACAAAUGUUAUUUUAAAAAAAUCACCCUUUGGCAAAAGAAACAUGUAAAAUUAGAAUCUGGCACAAACAAAACCUGAAUCUGGUUGUGAACUUUCACCACCCGCCGCAACUCUUUGAUAAAACCUCAAGUGAUAUCUAUUACCAUUGUAAAAAUAAAGCCUGCCCCUAUGCUUAGAAUGGGAGCGAGGGGUCAUAUGGUCAAGUCUAAGGGGAAGUGGGCAGUAAAUACAGGUUUUAAAUAAACUA